GGAAACCUACCUCUUAGCAGGGGAUAACAUUUGGAAACAGAUGCUAAUACCGUAUAACAAUGACAACCGCUGGUUGUUAUUUAAAAGAUGGUUCUGCUAUCACUAAGAGAUGGUCCCGCGGUGCAUUAGCUAGUUGGUAAGGUAAUGGCUUACCAAGGCGAUGAUGCAUAGCCAUUGAGAGACUGAUCGGCCACAAUGGGACUGAGACACGGCCCAUACUCCUACGGGAGGCAGCAGUAGGGAAUCUUCCACAAUGGGCGAAAGCCUGAUGGAGCAACGCCCGUGUGUGAUGAAGGGUUUCGGCUCGUAAAACACUGUUGUAAGAGAAGAAUGACAUUGAGAGUAACUGUUCAAUGUGUGACGGUAUCUUACCAGAAAGGAACGGCUAAAUACGUGCCAGCAGCCGCGGUAAUACGUAUGUUCCAAGCGUUAUCCGGAUUUAUUGGGCGUAAAGCGAGCGCAGACGGUUAUUUAAGUCUGAUGUGAAAGCCCUCA
This 495-nucleotide ribosomal RNA is filed under the name uncultured bacterium. RNAcentral's name for it is "bacterial SSU rRNA". It matches the Rfam family "Bacterial small subunit ribosomal RNA", at positions 120 to 606 of the family's 1533-position model. The record is from RNAcentral.